Oncorhynchus tshawytscha (Chinook salmon) is the source of this 2927-nucleotide long non-coding RNA. The record is from Ensembl. Lineage: Eukaryota; Metazoa; Chordata; Actinopteri; Salmoniformes; Salmonidae.
CAUCCCUCCCUUCUCUCCUCCCUUCCUCCCUCCCAUAUCAUGCUCUGGUGACUUGCCUGUUGCUAAAUAUCAAUUAUUAUACACUAUUUGUUCAUCUGAAAUGGCACCCUACUCCCUAUAUGGGCCCUGGUCAAAAAGUAGUGCACUACAUAGGGAAUAGUGUUUCAUUUGAGACGCAGACUAUGUUGUUGAGUUUUUAGGAUACUGACUGACUACAAGGGCAUUUUGAUACUGGUCUUCUAUGCAUUUUGUAAGACUCGCAUAUUUAGUUAUUUGCUGUAGGAGUUUUGUUUCACCACGCUAUAGCUAUAUACAGGGCACUCUGACGGUGUGAUAUAGUUUAGUUAGUAGACAGAAUAACAAGAGUUUUGGUAAAUGUACAGAUUAAAAAUGUGUGCCGGGACUUUGGUACAUACACACUUAUGCAUCCAAUAUUUACCUCGUCCUCUCCUGAGCAAUAAAAAAGCCAUUUUUUUCUCACGUCUGCUAGAGUUAUGCAACACGUAGCUUCACAUGAGCUCAAUGAGGUAAAAUAAAAACCUGGGUCGUGUUCAUUAUGCACCAAACGGAAGAAAACGGUCUGAAACGGGGCAGGGGCUAUACCUGAAACGCUAAUUUUUGUUUUUGUGUUUUGCGAAACAUUUUAAAAGGUUGCGUGAAUGAAUGUCCCCGUGCUAGAAGGUAAAGCAUGGAUUGGGCUGGAGUUAUCUUUAAAACAUCCUUUGACUAAAUAAAAAUAAAAAAUGGCAAUGAAUGAACUACUGUAGUUGAUAAAGUAUUACAUUGUAUUUGAUUAUAAAGGGUUUUUAGAGAAUGACCAUUUUAACGUGCUUGUCUGCGCUGACAGACUGGAGCGAAGAGACAUUUUGUCACUGGAAGAUUUGAAGCAAAGCAAGCUAAUCUACUUCUGAUAGGUCAAAACACCACUCCAAACCAUAGACAGUAUAUGUAGCAUUACAUUCUGAUAGGUCAAAACACCAUAGAACAAACACAAUACUGUAUGUAGCAUUACAUUCUGAUAGGUCAAAACACCAUAGAACAAACACAAUACUGUAUGUAGCAUUACAUUCUGAUAGGUCAAAACACCAUAGAACAAACACAAUACUGUAUGUAGCACACAGGCAUUUUCAGAGGGACAUUUUGCAUGCAGAACACCAUACUCCAAACCACAAAGGGAUCCGGCAACUGGAGAGAUUAGCCUAUGUACCGCACAGUCAUAUUCAGAUCAUACCUUACUGCUUUCAACAUACAGUUCAUGGGUUCUGUCUCUCUCUCUCUUUCUCUCGCUCUCUCUCUGUCUCUGUCUCUCUCUCUCUCUCUCUCUGUCUGUCUCUCUCUGUCUCUCUCUCUCAAUCUCUGUCUCUCUCUCUCUCAAUCUCUGUCUCUCUCUCAAUCUCUGUCUCUCUCUCAAUCUCUCUCUCUCAAUCUCUCUCUCAAUCUCUCUCACUCUCUCUCAAUCUCUCUCUGUCUCUCUCUCAUUCUCUCUCUCUUUCUGUCUCUCUCUCGCUCGCUCUCUCUCUCUCUCUCUCUCUCUCUCUCUCUCUGUCUGUCUCUCACACCUCACCUGGCACCAGAUAAUUUAGAAUGAUUAUACUGCAGGAUUAAAUCUUGGCUGUGACAGUCAAGAAGAACAACACAAGCCAUCAUGGUGAUGAAAGCAUGGUGUACAUUAUUCUGAGGGUACGUCCCUAUAAUACAUUACCCCCCCCCCCUGAAGUGUACUGUUCCCUCAAAUAUAAAAGCCUUGACUAGCUGAUCAUAACAGAUUAAGUGAUCAUAGUGUUAGGCCUUGUAGUGUUUUUUGUUGUUGUCUAUACUAGCUGAUCAUAGUGAGAUACACCUGCAUUAGCUCCUCCCCCCCAAGCUAAUGCCUAGACUUUAUCUCAGCUGGCUAACACAGAUUCCUGGAGACCCGGAUUGGAACCUACAUGCAGACAGGCGAUCUUUAAAAACCUUUAAAGACCUGUAUAGAUCUUUAUAGCCCUUUUUAGCCAGACUUCAUAGACACAGCGUGCAGAGUAAGUUAGUUAGGAAGAUAUGUUAAGGCAGCGUUUCCCAAACUAGGUCCCUGGGGAACCCAAGGAGUGCACGUUUUUUUUUUUUUCUCCUCUACAAUUACACAGCUGAUUCAAUUCAUCACAGCUUGAUGAUGAGUUGAUUACUUUUUUAAUCAGCUAUGUAGUGCUAGGGCAAAAAAAAAAAAAAAUGGGGUCCCCAGGUCCGAGUUUUGGAAAUCCUUGGUCAAGGAAAACAGACUUUCUACACACCAGAUAUACAGAGCAUUCCUGGAAAGUAUUCAGACCCCUUCCCUUCUUUCCACAUUGUGUUACGUUACAGCCUUAUUCUACAAUGGAUGAAAUAAAACACAUUCCUCAUCAAUCUACACACAAUAUCCCUAUAAUGACAUCACAAUACCCCUAUAAUGACAUCACAAUAUCCCUAUAAUGACAUCACAAUACCCCUAUAAUGACAUCACAAUACCCCUAUAAUGACGAAGCGAAAAUAUAUAUAUAUUUCUGUUAUAUUUGGAAAUGUAUAAAAAAAAAAUUGAAUGCAUCCCAAUUGGCACCCUAGUCCCUACAUGCGGGGACUGCAAUUAUUAUUAUUAUUAUUAUUUUUAAAUGUAACCUUCAUUUAACAACACAAGUCAGUUUUAAGAACAAAAAUUCUUGCAAUAGGAUGUCGUUUGGGACACUGUCAUUGUCUAUGACCCAGUGCCUGCCCAGUGUAUAUAUAAACACAUGUAAUAAUCAGCCCCUGUUAUUGGUCAGUUACACCACAGAUGUACAGGUUUUUAUCUAUUUGUCACUUGUUGUGGUUAAUAAUAUUGUAUUGUUUCUGAAUGCAGCAUUGUGGGAGUUUUUGAACUAUGAGAAAUGAAAAGCACUUACUGAAAUGAAAUGAAAAUAAAGUUAUUAAUAAAAAUA